GGGAAUAUUGGGCAAUGGAGGAAACUCUGACCCAGCGACGCCGCGUGCGGGAUGAAGGCCUUCGGGUUGUAAACCGCUUUCAGCAGGGAAGAAGCGAAAGUGACGGUACCUGCAGAAGAAGCACCGGCUAACUAUGUGCCAGCAGCCGCGGUAAUACAUAGGGUGCAAGCGUUGUCCGGAAUUAUUGGGCGUAAAGAGCUCGUAGGUGGUUCGUCACGUCGGAUGUGAAACUCUGGGGCUUAACCCCAGACCUGCAUUCGAUACGGGCGAGCUUGAGUAUGGCAGGGGAGUCUGGAAUUCCUGGUGUAGCGGUGGAAUGCGCAGAUAUCAGGAGGAACACCAAUGGCGAAGGCAGGACUCUGGGCCAUUACUGACACUGAGGAGCGAAAGCGUGGGGAGCGAACAGGAUUAGAUACCC
RNAcentral lists this ribosomal RNA (418 nucleotides) under actinobacterium SCGC AAA028-I18. Its description in RNAcentral is "bacterial SSU rRNA". It matches the Rfam family "Bacterial small subunit ribosomal RNA", at positions 357 to 787 of the family's 1533-position model. The record is from RNAcentral. Lineage: Bacteria; Bacillati; Actinomycetota; Actinomycetes.